CUGGAAAGUGUAUCUAGGAUUAUAU
RNAcentral lists this ribosomal RNA (25 nucleotides) under Mahatha iora. Its description in RNAcentral is "partial 12S ribosomal RNA". Lineage: Eukaryota; Metazoa; Arthropoda; Malacostraca; Decapoda; Gecarcinucidae. The record is from RNAcentral.